RNAcentral lists this long non-coding RNA (2343 nucleotides) under Anser brachyrhynchus (Pink-footed goose). Its description in RNAcentral is "lncRNA (ENSABRG00000018810.1)". The record is from RNAcentral. Lineage: Eukaryota; Metazoa; Chordata; Aves; Anseriformes; Anatidae.
AAAAGAUGUAAGAAAUGUGACGGCACGAGGACAGAAGCAAUACCAGAAUUUACCAACUUUUCUAAGAGCAGCAUUUUCAGUCACAGUGGCAGAGAUUUCUUCAGGAGCAUAGGGCUGACAGCAAGGUGACUGCAUGUAAAGCCGUUGGAAUAGAUCAUUCAUGGCUAUUCUGUGAAGCUCAACCACAUCUCAAGGCACUCAAAGGAAAGGAUUUCCAAUCUUCCAGCAGGGUUUGGACGCCCAUUUCAAAUGGCUUAAGGCAGUUUUGAAAAUCUCAGUCAAGAGCUAAUUCUUACUUUAAAAAAAACCAACAACUAUCAGUAUUUAUCAGUAUUGUUUAUCUAAGUAUUUAGCUUAUCAUUUAUGCACUCCAAAUGCUCUACACAAAGCCAGUAAUUCUUAAAUUCAAGUCAAGAAAAAAAAGUAAAGAUUCUCAUGACUAACUUCUGUGGUCACACAAGAAACUCCACAAAACAAAAACUAAGAAACACCCGAAGAGAAGACCAACAAUUUUGUUCAUUCAUUUCUUUCACAGAAGCAACCAACUACAGCCCUCCUAUCAAAGCGGAAGAACUUCUGGAGAUAGCUCAUGGUCUGUGUUUACCCUAGCAGUCAUUCCUUGUGACUCUUCCAUCUGGCCCACUGCCACUGACCAAAAUAUUGCCUUUUACUGCACUCAUGUUUCCAUCAUAAUUGCUUCUCCCUCCUCAGUGCCAAAAAGAAAUGACAUCACAUUUUAAAUUGAAUUAUUACUCCAGAAUGCUCAUCUUCUGUGAAUUCUCUCCAUUUUUUUGUGCUCUGGGGAACAAGUUAUGCCUUUCUUCUGCAUUUUGAACAGCGUACAGCUAAGACCUUACCAAACAGCAGAAAAUAUGGCUGCAGCUACUGUCACACCACGUGUGCCUAGGCAGGCCUCUUAGCAGCAGAUAUUUUCCAAAGGUUUUGCUUCAGAGCCUCAGAGAACAUCUUUAAGGAAGACCAAAGACUGCUGGCCGUGUUGAGAUACCUCCAGCUGGAGUGAAGCAGCUCUGUACACUCAGAGAAGCUCGCUUCUUAGCAACCUCCAACCCCAGUCUGGGGAAAACACUGCUCUUUUCUGCACAGACCCAUCAAUCAUUUCAUCCCCAACCCAGCUCCUCGCUCAGCAUCAAACGUCUAAGGCAGGGUAACGCGGGUGGAAAUCCUUGUUUGCUAUUAACAGCAGCAGCUGGGGCUUUCACCUUUUUUGUCACCUCAGGACCAGAGCUGGGCGGAAACCUGAGGAGCCAUGACCAAUGUGAUGUCGGAUUAGCAUCGCUCUGUGACACUGUCAGCAGCAUUUUGCUGGGCUCUUUAAGAGAAUAUCCUGCUGUGAUUCACAACAAGUCUUGUGUUUGAGAGACACAGAGAUCUCAUCCAGCAAAUUAAAAUGCGCUACAGGGAAUUUCAGCGUUUCUGCUUGGAGGUCUCCCAGGGACCGACCUAAGUGGCGUGUGCUGUGUCGAGAGCAAGAGCCACCUGCUCCAAAACACCCGGACCCUGAGCCACCGCGACCCACCUGUGACAAAGGAGCACAGCCGAUGGAACGAGGGGGCUGGAACAAGGGCUGAUUCCCAGCUACAGUUUGGCAAAAUAAGAAAUAGGUUCAUGGCACUUCAGCAAUUUGUCUAAAACGUGUUGGAUCACGUAUCGGUAACUCUUCAAUACAUUCUGCAUUAUUCACUGACAUAUAUUUGUUAUCUUAAUUACUAAUUACAAAAAGUGGCAUGACUCAUUUACAAGAUGGGUUGGAGAGACCACUGGUUUUACCAGACUUGCCUGCUGUAUUGCUGGAGUUAUGGUAGGUAUAUGCACAGCUGGCUGUGAAUGAAUUACAACAGAAGCCUGCUGCUUCAAAACCUUCUCACUUCAGUCUGUUUUAUCUGCUCUGGGACAGGCAAAGCAUUAGGUACUAAACGCAGAACAGAUCAGGGAGCUGAAACUCACUGAAAUAUUCAUAACAUUCUGAAUUUGAAAAAACGCUGAGCGGCGUGUGAAGAAAUGCAGGAAUCAUUUGCAUUUUUGCACGACAAAUACCAUAGUGCAGAGAAAAACGCUGCAUCCCUUACAAGCAACAACAGAAGUGCACAGGCAGGAGGAAAUAAGGAGAAGAAUGUAAAUGCUUUCACUGCAACAUGCUAAAAAUACAGGCUUUAGUACCUGUUUUCUUGUAAAAUGGGCUUUUUUAUUUCCACAAAUGUUAGAACUGUGGGUUAGCAUCUCCUUGGGAGGCAAAUGCGUUGAUCAGCACAGCACGUGCUAAAUCCAACACCGGCAGUUGCUUCCCUUUUAGCUGAAAGCACGGAGUGCCAUCAGUUGCAGUGC